AAAUUAUUUCAAUAUAUAUAUAUUUUUCUUCAAUACAUAUAUAUAUAUAUUUCUAUGAUCGAUAGAUAUUAUUAAUAUUAUUAUUUUUAUUGCAAAAAAAAUUAUGCACCUUGAAUUAUAUACGUUCAACAUGUAUGAUAAUACAAAUUUAUGUCACAUGAUCGAUAUUGAUUAUUUUUUUUUUGCUCUUAUAAACUAUAUAUAUGUUUUAAUAAAAAGAAAUUGGAAAACAAAAAUAUAUAAGGAAAAUAAUAAAUAAUGGAAUCAAUUAUUAUUGAAUUGGAAAUUAAGUCUAAAGAGAAUAAAUAUUAACACGACCCACCCCGAAUUUCACCCUGAAACCCGGAGUAAGUCGUGCGGGGACCACCUCCAAGGAAAAUUUAAUUUACUAAAAAGAUUAAGAAAAUAUUCUUUACAGAUGGACAACCCUAACUCGAAAAUUCCAAGUUACACUCUUAAUUCAACACGUCCAAACAUCACAUAAUUAACUUUCAGAAAUUCUACACAUAAAAUACAAUAAUCCCAAAGUAUUCAGAGCUACUAAACACGAGCGGAAGCAAGAAAACACGAGUAGGUUAAACAUGUAACCUACUGAUGAAAACUGGUGGAAAUGCGGGUGACUAUGCCUCGUCUCCUACUAGAUCCAACCCGAACUCUGUAGACUGGGCAAUUUAAAACGAAAGGCCCAGGGGAAAACAUUUAAUAACGUUAGAGUGAGUGGACAAAAAUAAAAUAAUAAAUAAAAUAUUUAUGUUUCCCCAAAUUAAUUUCUAAGGAAAAAUCGAAUGCAUGCCGCAAGCGAUAAAACUUUUAUCUCAUAAAAAAAUAUCGAGCCUCUCAGACUCUAUAAUAUAUGUAUGUAUUUACACUCGUCCAUACUCCCUAUAUAAAUUCAUGGGUCUAUAUAGGGCUACUACGCUCGCGUCCAACGCUCACGUUACGCUUUAAUGCGGUGCUACACUACGCCAUCAAGGUGGACAGACGGGUGUAUAAAUAUGUGUCCAUACCCCCUAUAUGAAUUUAAACACUCAAAUAGGGCUACUACGCUUACGUCCAACGCUCACGUCACACCAUAAUGCGGCUAUAUGCUACGCCAUUAAGGUGGACAGACACAUAUGGCUAGCUAGCAUUUAUAUACAUACUCUCUCAUAAAUACAUAUUUAUAUCCACCGAAAAUCCCAUUUUCGGUAACUCUCCAAGAGAAAUAAAAAUCGUCAAAUUAAAAUGACGUUAAAAUAUUCCGCAACAUUAAUUGUUCAACCAUGAACUAUNNNNNNNNNNNNNNNNNNNNAUGCUCUACAACUUUCCUGACCAACACAUCACCCAAUUCCAAGCCUAACUAGGCUAAUCGAACAAAAACAUCCUAAAAGCCCUAGAAAUUUCAACUCCACAUUUCUCAUUACCUAGCUCAAGAGGGAGUGAGCUGAUUGGAGGGGUUGCUGCACGGGAGGAGGGCUACAAAACCGUACCAAGCUUGCCCGGAUUGGUGGCCGGAGGAGGGAGUUCCGGCGGCCGGAAGUUCGGGGCAGCCUAGCCUUUCGGGCGGCACCGCUCUCUCACGGCGGCGCUAGGGGGGCUGUCACCGGUCCUGGAAGAUAGCUGGGUUGGAGACCGAUCGAUUGGGACCGGUGCGGCGGUCUGGGGCGGCCGGACGGCGGCGGACGGGCGGUCGGAAUUCCGGCAGCGGGUGUGGGAGCGGGAGAGGAGAGAGAGAAUCGGGAGGGAGAGAGAGAUUUUGGGCUUAGCCCAACCGGUUCCAACCCACAUAUACCCAAUCCAAAUUUCAACACCCCAAAAAUAAUACCCCAAUAAAAAUUACCUUUUACUAGCAAAAAUUUACCAUUUUUACCGUCGUCAUAUUUUCUCCCACGAAUAAUCCUCAGCACUAAAAAUCGACCCCGAAACCCCUCUAGGGACCAAUUAAGCUAUUAACUCAAUGAUCGAGACGGUAAAAUUCUUAUUAUAAUCAAGCUAGUAAAUAAGGUAAAAAUAUAAGGGUCGGGAUGUGACAAAUAUAAUAUUUUCUUUUGUAUAAUUAUUGUCCUUAAUAGUGAUUGUGUAUGAGGAUGUAUAUGUCAUUUAAUAAUUCACAAUAUAAUGAGGUCUAGUGAGCAAAUUUGGAGGUCCCAAUAAUCGCACUCCUCUCAAUUUACUACUACUGUAUAAAUCUUAAAUCAAACACAAUUUAAUAAAUUGAGGGUACAAUAGAGAAACUACAAAAACAAAAAAUACUCCAACGGCUCCGCCACGUUUUAAGGAGAAAAGAAAGUUAUAGUUGGCAAAUAUAUAAGAGAGAAAUGAGUAAUUCUAAAUACACACAUUUAAUCUCUUAAUACACACCUUUAUUAAUUUAUUUUCACAUCAAAUAUUUUAGGUAUGUUUAAU
This 2385-nucleotide long non-coding RNA is filed under the name Fragaria vesca (wild strawberry). RNAcentral's name for it is "long non-coding RNA (FVES_LNC005459)". The record is from RNAcentral. Lineage: Eukaryota; Viridiplantae; Streptophyta; Magnoliopsida; Rosales; Rosaceae.